AGACCCGAAACCCGGUGAUCUAGCCAUGGGCAGGUUGAAGGUUGGGUAACACUAACUGGAGGACCGAACCGACUAAUGUUGAAAAAUUAGCGGAUGACUUGUGGCUGGGGGUGAAAGGCCAAUCAAACCGGGAGAUAGCUGGUUCUCCCCGAAAGCUAUUUAGGUAGCGCCUCGUGAAUUCAUCUCCGGGGGUAGAGCACUGUUUCGGCAAGGGGGUCAUCCCGACUUACCAACCCGAUGCAAACUGCGAAUACCGGAGAAUGUUAUCACGGGAGACACACGGCGGGUGCUAACGUCCGUCGUGAAGAGGGAAACAACCCAGACCGCCAGCUAAGGUCCCAAAGUCAUGGUUAAGUGGGAAACGAUGUGGGAAGGCCCAGACAGCCAGGAUGUUGGCUUAGAAGCAGCCAUCAUUUAAAGAAAGCGUAAUAGCUCACUGGUCGAGUCGGCCUGCGCGGAAGAUGUAACGGGGCUAAACCAUGCACCGAAGCUGCGGCAGCGACACUGUGUGUUGUUGGGUAGGGGAGCGUUCUGUAAGCCUGUGAAGG
RNAcentral lists this ribosomal RNA (548 nucleotides) under Escherichia coli. RNAcentral describes it as "partial 23S ribosomal RNA". It matches the Rfam family "Bacterial large subunit ribosomal RNA", at positions 711 to 1256 of the family's 2925-position model. The record is from RNAcentral. RNAcentral also lists the same sequence under 1 other name. Lineage: Bacteria; Pseudomonadati; Pseudomonadota; Gammaproteobacteria; Enterobacterales; Enterobacteriaceae.